UGUCCUUAUUUGCCAGAACGUAAUGGUGGGAACUCUAAGGAGACUGCCGGUGACAAACCGGAGGAAGGUGGGGACGACGUCAAGUCAUCAUGGCCCUUAUGACCAGGGCUACACACGUGCUACAAUGGGACGUACAGAGGGUUGCUAAGCCGCGAGGUGGAGCCAAUCCCAGAAAACGUUUCGUAGUCCGGAUCGAAGUCUGCAACUCGACUUCGUGAAGUCGGAAUCGCUAGUAAUCGCGAAUCAGCAUGUCGCGGUGAAUACGUUC
This 268-nucleotide ribosomal RNA is filed under the name unidentified gamma proteobacterium groupE. Its description in RNAcentral is "partial 16S small subunit ribosomal RNA". It matches the Rfam family "Bacterial small subunit ribosomal RNA", at positions 1106 to 1373 of the family's 1533-position model. The record is from RNAcentral. Lineage: Bacteria; Pseudomonadati; Pseudomonadota; Gammaproteobacteria.